RNAcentral lists this unclassified non-coding RNA (489 nucleotides) under Hevea brasiliensis (rubber tree). Lineage: Eukaryota; Viridiplantae; Streptophyta; Magnoliopsida; Malpighiales; Euphorbiaceae. The record is from RNAcentral.
UGGAAUUUUCUGCUCUCUGAUUUUUUUUUUUUUUUUUUUCCCUUGCUUAGUGCUUGGACCUAUCAGGGUUGUGACAUCAGUUUUGGCACCUUUAAGUAAACAACCAAGUUCUUACUCGUUCCAUCUCAUGGGAAGGGAAGAAAAAAAAAAUCCAGGGAGAAAAUGAUGUAAGCAAGAAACGCAUAGUUCACAAAAUUCACAUUGUCAGCCCUCAGCAGAAAAUAUCCAAAAAAUAUAUAUAUACACAAAGAAAACGUUGGAUUUCCUAGCAAUUACCUUACAGCUUGAUAAAGGCAACUCAUGAAGCAAAAUACGCCUUAAGUUUAGUGGACAGACAUGUAGAAUAAAUUGGAUCAACAGAUACACUCAAAACAACUGUAUGGCUUAUCAUGCAGUUUCCACCAAUGAAGAUAAGAUGAAAAUUAUUCAGUCCUAGUUAACCUUCACAAGUUUGUACCAAGAUGUAAUCUUCUGCAGUAUAGCGUACCU